UUAAAUCGUAUGGAUUUUGAACGUUUGCCUACGUUUGCCGCUAGGGGCGCUGUUCCAACUGCGUACUAAGUUA
RNAcentral lists this microRNA precursor (73 nucleotides) under Bombyx mori (domestic silkworm). Its description in RNAcentral is "mir-2807 microRNA precursor family". It matches the Rfam family "mir-2807 microRNA precursor family". Lineage: Eukaryota; Metazoa; Arthropoda; Insecta; Lepidoptera; Bombycidae. The record is from Rfam by way of RNAcentral.